CAUGCAGUCGAGGGGCAGCAUCAUCAAAGCUUGCUUUGAUGGAUGGCGACCGGCGCACGGGUGAGUAACACGUAUCCAACCUGCCGACAACACUGGGAUAGCCUUUCGAAAGAAAGAUUAAUACCGGAUGGUAUAGUUUUCCCGCAUGGGAUGAUUAUUAAAGAAUUUCGGUUGUCGAUGGGGAUGCGUUCCAUUAGGCAGUUGGCGGGGUAACGGCCCACCAAACCUACGAUGGAUAGGGGUUCUGAGAGGAAGGUCCCCCACAUUGGAACUGAGACACGGUCCAAACUCCUACGGGAGGCAGCAGUGAGGAAUAUUGGUCAAUGGACGAGAGUCUGAACCAGCCAAGUAGCGUGAAGGAUGACUGCCCUAUGGGUUGUAAACUUCUUUUAUACGGGAAUAAAGUGAGCCACGUGUGGCUUUUUGUAUGUACCGUAUGAAUAAGGAUCGGCUAACUCCGUGCCAGCAGCCGCGGUAAUACGGAGGAUCCGAGCGUUAUCCGGAUUUAUUGGGUUUAAAGGGAGCGUAGGCGGGUUGUUAAGUCAGUUGUGAAAGUUUGCGGCUCAACCGUAAAAUUGCAGUUGAUACUGGCGACCUUGAGUGCAACAGAGGUAGGCGGAAUUCGUGGUGUAGCGGUGAAAUGCUUAGAUAUCACGAAGAACUCCGAUUGCGAAGGCAGCUUACUGGAUUGUAAC
RNAcentral lists this ribosomal RNA (695 nucleotides) under uncultured bacterium. RNAcentral's name for it is "bacterial SSU rRNA". It matches the Rfam family "Bacterial small subunit ribosomal RNA", at positions 54 to 740 of the family's 1533-position model. The record is from RNAcentral.